UGAGGAAUAUUGGUCAAUGGGUGCAAACCUGAACCAGCCAUGCCGCGUGAAGGAUGAAGGUCCUAUGGAUUGUAAACUUCUUUUAUACGGGAAAAAACCCUUCGACGUGUCGGAGGCUGAUUGUACCGUAAGAAUAAGGAUCGGCUAACUCCGUGCCAGCAGCCGCGGUAAUACGGAGGAUCCAAGCGUUAUCCGGAUUCACUGGGUUUAAAGGGUGUGUAGGCGGGAUAUUAAGUCAGUGGUGAAAUCCUACAGCUUAACUGUAGAACUGCCAUUGAAACUGAUAUUCUUGAAUGUAGUUGAGGUAGGCGGAAUGUGUGGUGUAGCGGUGAAAUGCUUAGAUAUCACACAGAACACCGAUUGCGAAGGCAGCUUGCUAAGCUAUGAUUGACGCUGAGACACGAAAGCGUGGGGAUCAAACAGG
This 424-nucleotide ribosomal RNA is filed under the name uncultured bacterium. RNAcentral describes it as "bacterial SSU rRNA". It matches the Rfam family "Bacterial small subunit ribosomal RNA", at positions 355 to 776 of the family's 1533-position model. The record is from RNAcentral.